CGAUUCGUCUAGCUUUGCUCUAGCAGCCACGCCGUCGAAUCCGCUGUGGGAGAGGCCGUGAUGGCGAGCAGCCACGCCAGAGGACGCCCCUGUGGUUGUGCUCUGCGUGUCGCGCUCGGACCUGGCAGCCGCGGAGGGCGCCGUUGGCCACUGGGCCUUGUGCAAGCAGCAUUUACAGGGGCGCCCCGCUCUGUGGUUCUGUGCAGAGGCUCCGGCAGUCGAUCGCCGCGGACGCGCGUUCGAGGGCCGGGAAGCCUUGCCUGACGUCACCGCCUUGCUUCAGCACCAGGCUGAACUAUGCACCGCGCAGCCGCCGUGCGGAGGGGUGCCGACCGCUGCGCUAUGAGUGGCCAUGGCGUGUGGAGAUGGGCCGGGCGCUGCCGCAAGCUGGGCAUCGUUGGCUGUUGGCCACCGCCAUCGCCUCUGCCGUUCGCGAGAAGCCGCGAUUCUGGCCCGGGGAAAGCGGCGAUGGAACGCCGGGCGUCGCCGGAGGGCGUCAGUCGGGCGCCGCCGCACUGCUGCUACUGUGCGUAGGCACACCGUAACCGAGGGCCAUGACGGCGUUGAGGCUCAAGGCCGGCCGUCGCAGAGGAGGGCACCGUGCGCCGGGCCAUGACGGCGUUGAGGCUCAAGGCCGGCCGUCGCAGAGGAGGGCACCGUGCGCCGGGGCCAUGCGCCGGCUCUGUUCAAGGAGAAGAAGGGAAGGAGGGGGCUGACGCGGCUCGCUGCGGUCGGAGAAACCGGGCCGUAGUCGCAUCCGUCACGCCGCCCGCCUCCCGUGAUGCAGUCGCGUCCAGCCGCUGCCACCGCAUCACGGAGUGAGGCCGCGACGCCACGCGCGUGCCUGCGCUCGCUGCCGGUCGAGAAGACCAUGCACACCGCCGUGUCGCUACACGCGCCUUGCCGGCAGGAGGGAGCGCUUUUGCCCGUUCGUUCUCUCCUUCUCGUCGGAAUCGCUCUCGCCGGAGAACAGUGCUGAUAACGUGUUUAGAAUUGAGAUCGAGAAAGACAGAGACAAUUGAAU
RNAcentral lists this ribosomal RNA (1024 nucleotides) under Triticum aestivum (bread wheat). Its description in RNAcentral is "partial small subunit ribosomal RNA". The record is from RNAcentral. Lineage: Eukaryota; Viridiplantae; Streptophyta; Magnoliopsida; Poales; Poaceae.